UACGUAGGUGGCAAGCGUUAUCCGGAUUUAUUGGGCGUAAAGAGAACGCAGGCGGUCUUUUAAGUCUGAUGUGAAAGCCUUCGGCUUAACCGGAGUAGUGCAUUGGAAACUGGGAGACUUGAGUGCAGAAGGGGAGAGUGGAACUCCAUGUGUAGCGGUGAAAUGCGUAGAUAUAUGGAAGAACACCAGUGGCGAAAGCGGCUCUCUGGUCUGUAACUGACGCUGAGGGUCGAAAGCGUGGGUAGCAAACAGG
This 253-nucleotide ribosomal RNA is filed under the name uncultured bacterium. RNAcentral's name for it is "partial 16S ribosomal RNA". It matches the Rfam family "Bacterial small subunit ribosomal RNA", at positions 524 to 776 of the family's 1533-position model. The record is from RNAcentral.